UUCCUCUGGAAGAAAGGACAUGAUCUUUGUGUUGAAAUUGUUUUCACCACUUACCCUUUAGUGGAAACAAGAUAAUCCACUGAUUCAAGACCAUUCUCAUCUCCCAGGAAGACACUGACGGGUCACUAUGGAAUGAACACAGCAGGACCACAGGCAUGUGCCUCUUGCCACUAGCUCUAUCCAGCGGCUAGCCUGGCAUCUGGGUGUCCCAGAUGAAGUCAAGAAGGAACAGUUGAGAUAAAUGCAUAGUGAGUGGUACUGCUGAACCCGAUACCCCUUCUAGCCUGAUCACUGAAGUGCUUUUGGCAAGGAGCAACCUCUACAGGAACUGUGGCAUCGGGAUUUCAACUGUUGCAUGGCCAGAGUAAGUGUGUUGAUGGCUGAAUGAGAAGGUAAAGAAAUAAAGGUCUCUGGGAUGUCAAAUCAAGUCCACUGCUACUGGGGACAUUACAGCAUGUCUCUCCAUCAGCUGCACAAGGGUCUGAAAAUUGGAGGCUUCAUCUUACUCUGAAGACAAUAAAUCUUUUCACAUACUGAUUUACUAGCUUAUUAUUUUUUAAAGAAAUGUCAGUAAAUUUUGAUUCAACCUGAA
This is a long non-coding RNA of Parus major (Great Tit), 592 nucleotides long. RefSeq lists it as uncharacterized. The transcript has 2 exons. The record is from RefSeq and is a predicted model, not a curated record. NCBI's taxonomy places the organism in Eukaryota, Metazoa, Chordata, Aves, Passeriformes, Paridae.